UACGUAGGGUGCAAGCGUUGUCCGGAAUCAUUGGGCGUAAAGCGCGCGUAGGUGGCUUCGUAAGUCCGUUGUGAAAGUCAAAGGCUCAACCUUUGAAAGCCGAUGGAUACUGCGGAGCUAGAGUACGGAAGAGGCGAGUGGAAUUCCUGGUGUAGCGGUGGAAUGCGCAGAUAUCAGGAGGAACACCGGUGGCGAAGGCGGGUCUCUGGGCAGUAACUGACGCUGAGGAGCGAAAGCGUGGGGAGCGAACAGG
This 253-nucleotide ribosomal RNA is filed under the name uncultured bacterium. RNAcentral describes it as "partial 16S ribosomal RNA". It matches the Rfam family "Bacterial small subunit ribosomal RNA", at positions 524 to 776 of the family's 1533-position model. The record is from RNAcentral.